Molecule: transfer RNA, 72 nt
Filed under: Tauraco erythrolophus (red-crested turaco)
Lineage: Eukaryota; Metazoa; Chordata; Aves; Musophagiformes; Musophagidae
Rfam family: tRNA
About the family: Transfer RNA (tRNA) molecules are approximately 80 nucleotides in length.
Source: Rfam by way of RNAcentral
GGGGAUGUAGCUCAGCAGGAGAGCACUUGCUUUGCAAGUAAGAGGCCCUGGGUUUGACCCCCAGCAUCUCCA